GAUACAGAUGCCUAUGGUCCGUUUCAUCAUUCUCAAAUGUGAUGGUCUGAUUUUCAAAAAAGUCAAUGGCUGUCCCAUUGGGGAUGAAGACAGUAAAAGAACAACGUUCUCCUAUUGUACCACAGCUUGGAGGUGCUGAGGCAGCUUGCUGUCAACAGAACAUUCAACAGAUGCAGACACUACCCCACAGACUGCAAAAGGACACAUUCAACUACUAUUGGUCCUGACACAAGAUACAGCAGAGUUCAGGAAUCAAAGAAACUGCAUCUCAACCGGGAAGUUCUAGCCUGGAUGAGUCUAUACCUGACCAUGGAAGGCAGGAGACAGAACAGGUCACUGGCUGGGUGGGAGGCAUCCACCGCAAUCUAGUGUUCCCUGCACAGACUACGCUGGGCGUAGAUUGCGUCCACAAGGGGUAGGUCAAUACCAAUACAUCAGUUAGCUGCAUGCACCACCAGGUUAAGUAGGAUUUUCUGGUUUUGGGUGGUAUUGCAGCAGGGCCGCCGAGAGCCAGCCCGGGCCCCGGGACGGAAGACCUCUCCGGGCCCCUUGUACUUGUAAUCGUAAAUUAU
Pomacea canaliculata is the source of this 572-nucleotide long non-coding RNA. RefSeq lists it as uncharacterized. The transcript has 3 exons. The record is from RefSeq and is a predicted model, not a curated record. Lineage: Eukaryota; Metazoa; Mollusca; Gastropoda; Architaenioglossa; Ampullariidae.